RNAcentral lists this ribosomal RNA (370 nucleotides) under Epistylis cf. galea. RNAcentral describes it as "SSU rRNA". It matches the Rfam family "Eukaryotic small subunit ribosomal RNA", at positions 585 to 972 of the family's 1831-position model. RNAcentral also lists the same sequence under 1 other name. Lineage: Eukaryota; Ciliophora; Oligohymenophorea; Sessilida; Epistylidae. The record is from RNAcentral.
CCAGCUCCAGUAGCGUAUAUUAAAGUUGCUGCAGUUAAAAAGCUCGUAGUUGAAGUUCUGCUUGUAAGAACGGCUUCUUUACGGAAGUCGUAGCUUCAAGCAUCAGUUUGCAACCAUCUGCACGACCUUUACUGGUCGGCUAUGUGAGCAAACGUUUUACCUUGAGAAAAUCAGAGUGCUCCAGGCAGGCUUCAGCCGGAAUGCAUUAGCAUGGAAUAAUGGAAUAGGACUGGGGACUAUUUAUUGGUUUGAGACUCCAGUAAUGAUUAAUAGAAACAGUCGGGGGCAUUAGUACUUAAUAGUCAGAGGUGAAAUUCUUGGAUUUAUUAAAGACUAACUAAUGCGAAAGCAUUUGCCAAGCAUGUUUUCA